Molecule: ribosomal RNA, 254 nt
Filed under: uncultured bacterium
Lineage: Bacteria
Description: partial 16S ribosomal RNA
Rfam family: Bacterial small subunit ribosomal RNA
Source: RNAcentral
UACAGAGGGUGCGAGCGUUGUUCGGAAUUACUGGGCGUAAAGCGCGCGCAGGCGGCUCUCUAAGUCUACGGGUGAAAGACCGGGGCUCAACCCCGUGUCAGCCCGGGAUACUGGGGAGCUAGGGACAUGUAGGGGCGAGCGGAAUUCCGGGUGUAGCGGUGGAAUGCGUAGAGAUCCGGAAGAACACCGGGGGCGAAGGCGGCUCGCUGGGCAUGGUCCGACGCUGAGGCGCGAAAGCGUGGGGAGCGAACAGG